This 73-nucleotide transfer RNA is filed under the name Apaloderma vittatum (bar-tailed trogon). It matches the Rfam family "tRNA". From Rfam's summary of the family: Transfer RNA (tRNA) molecules are approximately 80 nucleotides in length. Their secondary structure includes four short double-helical elements and three loops (D, anti-codon, and T loops). The record is from Rfam by way of RNAcentral. Lineage: Eukaryota; Metazoa; Chordata; Aves; Trogoniformes; Trogonidae.
GGCCAGUUAGCUCAGUCGGUUAGAGCAUGGUGCUAAUAACACCAAGGUCACAGGUUCAAUCCCCGUUUGGUCC